This 406-nucleotide ribosomal RNA is filed under the name uncultured bacterium. RNAcentral describes it as "partial 16S ribosomal RNA". It matches the Rfam family "Bacterial small subunit ribosomal RNA", at positions 28 to 526 of the family's 1533-position model. The record is from RNAcentral.
GAUAAACGCUGGCGGCGUGCAUAACACAUGCAAGUCGAACGAAGUGGCGAACGGGUGAGUAACACGUGAGUAACCUGCCUUACACAAGGGGAUAGCCUUUGGAAACGAAGAAUAAUACCCUAUAGUGUAAGAUGGACUUGCGUCUGAUUAGCUAGUUGGUGAGAUAAAAGCCCACCAAGGCGACGAUCAGUAGCCGGCUUGGGGGAGUGUACGGCCACAUUGGGACUGAGACACGGCCCAAACUCUACGGGAGGCAGCAGUGGGGAAUUUUGCACAAUGGGGGAAACCCUGAUGCAGCAACGCCGCGUGCGGGAGACGGCCUUCGGGUUGUAAACCGCUUUCAGCCAUGACGCGGUAGUGGCAGAAGAAGCACCGGCUAACUACGUGCCAGCAGCCGCGGUAAUUC